RNAcentral lists this ribosomal RNA (484 nucleotides) under uncultured bacterium. RNAcentral's name for it is "partial 16S ribosomal RNA". It matches the Rfam family "Bacterial small subunit ribosomal RNA", at positions 28 to 507 of the family's 1533-position model. The record is from RNAcentral.
AUUGAACGCUGGCGGCAUGCUUUACACAUGCAAGUCGAACGGCAGCGCGGGCUUCGGCCUGUCGGCGAGUGGCGAACGGGUGAGUAAUGCAUCGGAACGUGCCCAGUAGUGGGGGAUAGCCCGGCGAAAGCCGGAUUAAUACCGCAUACGACCUGAGGGUGAAAGCGGGGGACCGAAAGGCCUCGCGCUAUUGGAGCGGCCGAUGUCGGAUUAGCUAGUUGGUGGGGUAAAGGCUUACCAAGGCGACGAUCCGUAGCUGGUCUGAGAGGACGACCAGCCACACUGGGACUGAGACACGGCCCAGACUCCUACGGGAGGCAGCAGUGGGGAAUUUUGGACAAUGGGGGCAACCCUGAUCCAGCCAUGCCGCGUGCGGGAAGAAGGCCUUCGGGUUGUAAACCGCUUUUGUUCGGGAAGAAAUCCUCUGGGCUAAUACCCCGGGGGGAUGACGGUACCGGAAGAAUAAGCACCGGCUAACUACGUG